GAAAAAUAUGCAAAAAAAAAAAAAGACCCAACUAGACGAGAAGAAGAAGAAGAGCAGGAGGGCACGACCUUUGACCUACAUUUCACCUCAAAGCAUUUAAAAAGGACGAUUAACACCGAGGUUCAAUCAAACUUUAUUCGUCCUCGUAAGCAGAGUUUGGGCACCGGCGUCCCGUCCUGCUCUUCCUCCGUCUGAUCCUCACUGUGCUCUCAGAUGCUGCCUCUGCUUCGGGUUUCAGAGUCAGAGCGACCCGCCACCUCUGGGUCACCUGCACCGGUCCAGGUGUGCUGUGAUGGGCCGGACCGCUCUCUGCUGUGGCGGCAGCGUCAGUAGACGCGGGACCCAGAGGUGUGACGAUCCCUCGGACUGCGGUGGGGUUUCACAUGCGCUGCUGCCGCUCCGAAAGUCUCGAAGCUCCCAAAUGUUUGUGAGAAUUAAACGAGAUCCUCCCGUCAGACAAACAGCUGUUUGUUUACUUUGAAUGGCAGCGUGCGAUUGGUUGAAUUGGCUGAGAGGCUUCCUGCUGUCGGGGAGGAUGUCCUGAAGUCUCCAAAGGUGUCGUUCGAAGGAGUCUUUCUCUGUGAUCGCCUUCGGAAUCGCCUUUACGGACUCUGAGGGCUCCACAAAGUUCAGAUGAAACGCAGGAACAGUUCGAUGCACUUCUGCUUUAUGUUCCGGACCUUUAACUUCCUGCUCACGCCAGGGUCGGAUGCUCAAAGCAGUUCUGUUCAUCCUCGAUACCUUCAGCUCCCUUGAAACAGCCUCUGGCGACCUCGUUAUUUUUCGUCUUUUUUGUUGGAUUUCUUAAGGAAUAAGUUCACAAAACCUUUGAGAUGGUCUGAUGAAGUCAUCGCAUCACUUCCUGUUUCUCAGAGAGGAUGUUUCUGAAUCACACACAACAAAAAGCAAAUGACAAUCUGCAGAAAGGUGGAAUUUGCUCUCUGUUUGGUUUCCAUUCCUGCUGUCGGCACAGCCGGGCAGAUGGGGAGAAUGAUCCGGGUGUUUUAGCCAUACGCCGCCGCCGCCUCCUUCUCAGCUCGUUGUUAACGUCUCCACGGUCGAGUACAUGGCAGACGCAUUUCUAUCCAGUUUCUAUUUUUUAGUAUGACGUGAUUCUUCUUCUGAUUUCUAUAUUUUGUAGUGUGAUUAAAGUGGUCUUUUUAUAUUCCAGCAGUUUCUACCACACAUUCCAAACGUGCACGUCAGCAGAUGGGACCCGGCCGGCGCCGCCGCAGACGCUGAGCUCAUCUUAGCUGUCCUCCACAGCUGCUCUGUUUUUAAAGGUCGUGUUGAGACAGAGGCAGUCAGUCUGUCACAAAGGUCACGGUGUCUCGACCUCUCGGGCCUCGGAGACUCUCGAGGUGGAGUCGUUUUUUUCCGACUCAUCUUUGAGCAGAAGAUCUUCACAUUUAGAGGCUUCUGUCUUCAUGUCCACCUGUUUUACAGUCGGUCCUCCUAAAAAGAAAAAACAGGACAAAUUUAAAGGGGCGUGACCUCACGAUGGGAGCGUGCUCCCGGUCGUUCCUCACCCUCAGAAUGAGGGUGAGCAGUCGGUGUAGAAGCAGGAACCUUGGACUCCAGCUGGUUCCUCAGUUUUUUUCCUUUUUGGCUCAAAGACUCGAGUUUGAUGAAGCGUGGAAACAUUCAUCAAAUCUGGCUGUCAUGGCGGCAGGUUAGAUAACUGGAAAUACUUCCUGCCAGAAUGCUGUCGUGGACAUGAACAUUAAGGUGCGGGACAUAUUGUUUGUGCAAAAGUCUUGAAUCACAUGUCGCUGUGGAGGAUGGCGUCAGAUGGGGGCGUCUGUAGUCGCGAUGCCAGUCGGGUCCCAUCGAAUCAGAAUCUAAGCUCAAAACACGUCUUUAAGAAAAAAAGAAAGAAGGCAGACGCAGUUAUGGAGCGUUUUUAUUUUUCUAUCCGUACGGCUUCUGUCAGAACAUAAAGACGGCGUCCGGGCCGCUUGGUUUCCUCAUUUUCAGUUUGUGCAUUUUUCUUUCCUUCCCGUCUUCGGCUGACUUCUUUGUGCCGGACUCGUGACUGUCUCGACGUCCUCUGCCGGGCCUUCGUACCUUCAGUAAUACCAAUGUGAAACCUGUAACUCUCCUCAUGGUUCGACUCAGUGGAAGUGUGAUGUUUACAUGUACAGAUUUUUGCUAUUUUUCUUUUCUGGUUCUUUCUGUUUUCAUCUUCAUGCCUCUCUUUUCCACUCCUGAGUUCCUCUGACUCCUUCCUCACACAGGGAAAUGGGACUGAGACUAAAUAUGAUUAUCCACAUUUCACACUCUGCCCUUUCCCACUGUGGAGGCCUGAGAGUGCCAAAAGAACUAAUGGCCUUAGUACUGCACCUUUAAAUGCAUCCAAAUAAGAAAUUAAUCUGAACUGUAAUUCUCCUCUUUAUUUCCUGUUUCAUGUUCUAACUAAGGGAAUAAAGUGCAAAAUGAAUGCAUGAAUAAAUAAAUGUAAUUGGCGCGCAGGUACCCGUGCAGCAGCCAUCUUUGGACCUGACCUAAGGCUCGUUUACAGCUCAGGUAAAUGUUUUGCAGACCGUUAGUUUGAAUUUAAAGUCUGUUUUUAGUUCAUCAGUGUUAGUUUUAGUUUUAGAGCUGCGAGUUUUAUGGGAUUAUAACAAAUGAGGACAUAAUUUAUAUAUUUUUAUUUUCAUUAUUUUCAGUAGUGCGCAGUUUGGUCUAGUUUUUAGAAGACGGCGAUUUCCUGCUGGAGAGGUGGUGAGCCUGGGCCAGAUGUGGUCCAGAUGUUGCCACAGUCACUGAAGCCGGGUCAAAGCCAGGCGGGGUAGAUCUGUACUAAGGUGAAUAGUGAUGUUGAUGCAUUUAACUUUGUGUUAAAGUGUUUGAGCUGUUCAGUCAUUUUGGCAGUUUCAGUCCUCCGUAGGGUUCGGGGGAUCGGGUACUUCCUGUUAGCAUCGUUAGCGCUGAGUUAAAUCUGCCGCGCUAACGUGCUCAGUGAAGAAAGUCGAGGCGUUCCCGGGCGGCCUUCUGGGUGUGGGAGGGGGGAGUUGUGCCAUUGUUGGAGGGGUGGGUUGCGGUUGACCCCCGACCUCUCGGCUGACUCCACAGCACACAGGAUCCCAGCGGGGCCACGGCGACCCUCCGCGAUCUGUGGGAGACGAUUCCUCAGUGAAUGAAAAGCCAUUUCAGGCCCCGGGCGUCGGGUCUUUAGUCUGUUAGUGUAUUUAGCGAAACUUAAACUGCGGACGGCGAAACUCAACCUCAGGAACAGAAAAAAGGACAUGACUUUUAUAAAAGCAGCUGAAGGCCCAUUUCCCUCUCUUUGAUACCAUAUAAAUUAUAUCAAAUCAAUUCUUUUUAUAUUUAUUGUGUUUAUUAUUCUUCUAUAUAACAGUGGAUACCUUUUGCAGUACCUGUGGCUGAAUAUUUUGAUUCUUUAGAAAAGUGUUGAUAAUAUAUGUGAAGCAACUUAAAGGACAGAGGAAAAAAAGAAGAAAUCUGGGUUGUUCUUAUUCUUUCUGUUUGUUGAUGACUACAUAUCACUCUGGUCCAUGACGAAGACACCAAUGAUUAUACAGACUGAGCUUUCUUUGUGUGAUGUCACUGCUAAGGCUGAAAUGUUUCUGGACUUUGUGACCGUUCAGUUUGUUUUUGGUUUGUUUCCUCCUGAGCUGUACAUCACAAAGCUAAAUAUACUAAUAAAAACGGUGUGCUAUCUAUCAGA
Long non-coding RNA from Oreochromis aureus, 3691 nucleotides. NCBI's taxonomy places the organism in Eukaryota, Metazoa, Chordata, Actinopteri, Cichliformes, Cichlidae. The record is from Ensembl.